This 261-nucleotide ribosomal RNA is filed under the name Triticum aestivum (bread wheat). RNAcentral's name for it is "partial small subunit ribosomal RNA". The record is from RNAcentral. Lineage: Eukaryota; Viridiplantae; Streptophyta; Magnoliopsida; Poales; Poaceae.
AUGAGCAGCUCGGUGCUCUUCUGGUACUUGCGGAUCUCGCGGAGCGCGACGGUGCCGGGGCGGAAGCGGUGGGGCUUCUUCACGCCGCCCGUCGCCGGCGCCGACUUGCGCGCCGCCUUGGUCGCCAGCUGCUUCCGCGGGGCCUUGCCGCCGGUCGACUUGCGCGCGGUCUGCUUCGUGCGGGCCAUUUGCGGAUCUGGGGCGAGGGAAGGCUGGGGAGUUUGCUGCGCGGUGGCGAGAGAGUUCGGCGCGGUGGUUUGA